GCACUGGCAGUAAGUAAACCGUGGCCUAGUGGUCAAAGGUGCUUAGGAGGCGAUACCCAGGGGAGACGCAGGUUCUAAUCCUGCCGUUUCCGCAAUUUUUGAUAUGUAAUUAAAAUUAUUA
Molecule: long non-coding RNA, 121 nt
Organism: Maniola jurtina (meadow brown)
Lineage: Eukaryota; Metazoa; Arthropoda; Insecta; Lepidoptera; Nymphalidae
Exons: 3
Source: RefSeq, a predicted model, not a curated record